UCGAACGGUGAAGCCAAGCUUGCUUGGUGGAUCAGUGGCGAACGGGUGAGUAACACGUGAGCAACCUGCCCUGGACUCUGGGAUAAGCGCUGGAAACGGCGUCUAAUACUGGAUAUGAGCUCUCAUCGCAUGGUGGGGGUUGGAAAGAUUUUUUGGUCUGGGAUGGGCUCGCGGCCUAUCAGCUUGUUGGUGAGGUAAAGGCUCACCAAGGCGUCGACGGGUAGCCGGCCUGAGAGGGUGACCGGCCACACUGGGACUGAGACACGGCCCAGACUCCUACGGGAGGCAGCAGUGGGGAAUAUUGCACAAUGGGCGGAAGCCUGAUGCAGCAACGCCGCGUGAGGGAUGACGGCCUUCGGGUUGUAAACCUCUUUUAGCAGGGAAGAAGCGARAGUGACGGUACCUGCAGAAAAAGCGCCGGCUAACUACGUGCCAGCAGCCGCGGUAAUACGUAGGGCGCAAGCGUUAUCCGGAAUUAUUGGGCGUAAAGAGCUCGUAGGCGGUUUGUCGCGUCUGCUGUGAAAUCCCGAGGCUCAACCUCGGGCCUGCAGUGGGUACGGGCAGACUAGAGUGCGGUAGGGGAGAUUGGAAUUCCUGGUGUAGCGGUGGAAUGCGCAGAUAUCAGGAGGAACACCGAUGGCGAAGGCAGAUCUCUGGGCCGUAACUGACGCUGAGGAGCGAAAGGGUGGGGAGCAAACAGGCUUAGAUACCCUGGUAGUCCACCCCGUAAACGUUGGGAACUAGUUGUGGGGACCAUUCCACGGUUUCCGUGACGCAGCUAACGCAUUAAGUUCCCCGCCUGGGGAGUACGGCCGCAAGGCUAAAACUCAAAGGAAUUGACGGGGACCCGCACAAGCGGCGGAGCAUGCGGAUUAAUUCGAUGCAACGCGAAGAACCUUACCAAGGCUUGACAUACACCAGAACACCGUAGAAAUACGGGACUCUUUGGACACUGGUGAACAGGUGGUGCAUGGUUGUCGUCAGCUCGUGUCGUGAGAUGUUGGGUUAAGUCCCGCAACGAGCGCAACCCUCGUUCUAUGUUGCCAGCACGUAAUGGUGGGAACUCAUGGGAUACUGCCGGGGUCAACUCGGAGGAAGGUGGGGAUGACGUCAAAUCAUCAUGCCCCUUAUGUCUUGGGCUUCACGCAUGCUACAAUGGCCGGUACAAAGGGCUGCAAUACCGUGAGGUGGAGCGAAUCCCAAAAAGCCGGUCCCAGUUCGGAUUGAGGUCUGCAACUCGACCUCAUGAAGUCGGAGUCGCUAGUAAUCGCAGAUCAGCAACGCUGCGGUGAAUACGUUCCCGGGUCUUGUACACACCGCCCGUCAAGUCAUGAAAGUCGGUAACACCUGAAGCCGGUGGCCUAACCCUUGUGGAGGAGCCGUCGA
Molecule: ribosomal RNA, 1386 nt
Filed under: Microbacterium trichothecenolyticum
Lineage: Bacteria; Bacillati; Actinomycetota; Actinomycetes; Micrococcales; Microbacteriaceae
Description: bacterial SSU rRNA
Rfam family: Bacterial small subunit ribosomal RNA
Source: RNAcentral